GAUGAACGCUGGCGGCGUGCCUAAUACAUGCAAGUCGAGCGAACGGACGAGAAGCUUGCUUCUCUGAUGUUAGCGGCGGACGGGUGAGUAACACGUGGAUAACCUACCUAUAAGACUUGGAUAACUUCGGGAAACCGGAUCUAAUACCGGAUAAUAUUUUGAACCGCAUGGUUCAAAAGUUAAAGACGGUUUUGCUGUCACUUAUAGAUGGAUCCGCGCUGCAUUAGCUAGUUGGUAAGGUAACGGCUUACCAAGGCAACGAUGCAUAGCCGACCUGAGAGGGUGAUCGGCCACACUGGAACUGAGACACGGUCCAGACUCCUACGGGAGGCAGCAGUAGGGAAUCUUCCGCAAUGGGCGAAAGCCUGACGGAGCAACGCCGCGUGAGUGAUGAAGGUCUUCGGAUCGUAAAACUCUGUUAUUAGGGAAGAACAGAUGUGUAAGUAACUGUGCACAUCUUGACGGCACCUAAUCAGAAAGCCACGGCUAACUACGUG
Molecule: ribosomal RNA, 497 nt
Filed under: uncultured bacterium
Lineage: Bacteria
Description: partial 16S ribosomal RNA
Rfam family: Bacterial small subunit ribosomal RNA
Source: RNAcentral